AGCGAACGCUGGCGGCGUGCUUAACACAUGCAAGUCGAACGUGAAAUGUAGCAAUACAGAGUAAAGUGGCGUACGGGUGAGUAACACGUGGGUAAUCUACCAAAGAGCCUGGAAUAACCGACCGAAAGGUUGGCUAAUACUGGAUAGUUCAAAUGAAAUAUAAUGUUUCGCUUGGGAAAGGGAGCGAGCAAUCGCCUUCACUUUCUGAUGGGCUCGCGUCUGAUUAGCUAGUUGGUAGGGUAAUGGCCUACCAAGGCGACGAUCAGUAGCUGGUCUGGGAGGAUGGUCAGCCACACUGGAACUGAAACACGGUCCAGACUCCUACGGGAGGCAGCAGUGGGGAAUCUUGCGCAAUGGACGAAAGGCUGACGCCGCCACGCCGCGUGAGUGAAGAAGGCCUUCGGGUUGUAAAGCUCUGUCGGAAGGGACAAAAACGUUUAAGGUUAAUAGCCUUAGAUCUUGAUGGUACCUUCAAAGGAAGCACCGGCUAACUUCGUGCCAGCAGCCGCAGUAA
Molecule: ribosomal RNA, 514 nt
Filed under: uncultured bacterium
Lineage: Bacteria
Description: partial 16S ribosomal RNA
Rfam family: Bacterial small subunit ribosomal RNA
Source: RNAcentral